AACGAACGCUGGCGGCAUGCCUAACACAUGCAAGUCGAACGAGACCUUCGGGUCUAGUGGCGCACGGGUGCGUAACGCGUGGGAACCUGCCUUUAGGUUCGGAAUAACUCAGAGAAAUUUGAGCUAAUACCGGACGAUGUCUUCGGACCAAAGAUUUAUCGCCUUUAGAUGGGCCCGCGUUGGAUUAGCUAGUUGGUGGGGUAAAGGCCUACCAAGGCGACGAUCCAUAGCUGGUCUGAGAGGAUGAUCAGCCACACUGGGACUGAGACACGGCCCAGACUCCUACGGGAGGCAGCAGUGGGGAAUAUAGGACAAUGGGCGAAAGCCUGAUCCAGCAAUGCCGCGUGAGUGAUGAAGGCCUGAGGGUAGUAAAGCUCUUUUACCCGAGAUGAUAAUGACAGUAUCGGGAGAAUAAGCACCGGCUAACUCCGUG
This 433-nucleotide ribosomal RNA is filed under the name uncultured bacterium. RNAcentral describes it as "partial 16S ribosomal RNA". It matches the Rfam family "Bacterial small subunit ribosomal RNA", at positions 29 to 507 of the family's 1533-position model. The record is from RNAcentral.